RNAcentral lists this ribosomal RNA (254 nucleotides) under uncultured bacterium. RNAcentral describes it as "partial 16S ribosomal RNA". It matches the Rfam family "Bacterial small subunit ribosomal RNA", at positions 524 to 776 of the family's 1533-position model. The record is from RNAcentral.
UACGUAGGGGGCGAGCGUUGUCCGGAUUUAUUGGGCGUAAAGGGCUCGCAGGCGGCCUGAUUAAGUCGUGCGUGAAAUCUCCCGGCUCAACUGGGAGCGGUCGUGCGAUACUAGUCGGCUUGAGGCCGGUAGGGGGAAGCGGAAUUCCCGGUGUAGUGGUGGAAUGCGUAGAUAUCGGGAGGAACACCAGAAGCGAAGGCGGCUUCCUGGACCGGUCCUGACGCUCAGGAGCGAAAGCGUGGGUAGCGAUCCGG